UUCCGGUUGAUCCUGCCAGAGGCUACUGCUAUCGGGGUCCGACUAAGCCAUGCGAGUUGAGAGGGGUAAGCCCUCGGCAUAUUGCUCAGUAACACGCGGAUAACCUGCCCUUGGGUUUGGGAUAACCCCGGGAAACUGGGACUAAUACCGGAUAGAUCAAAGAAACUGGAAUGUUCUCUGAUCGAAAGCUCCGGCGCCCAAGGAUGGGUCUGCGGCCUAUCAGGUAGUAGUGGGUGUAACGUACCUACUAGCCUACGACGGGUAAGGGUUGUGAGAGCAAGAGCCCUGAGAUGGAUUCUGAGACAUGAAUCCAGGCCCUACGGGGUGCAGCAGGCGCGAAAACUUUACACUGCGGGAAACCGCGAUAAGGGGACCCCGAGUGCCAGCACCUAGUGCUGGCUGUCCAGCUGUUCAAAUAACAGUUGUUAGCAAGGGCCGGGCAAGACCGGUGCCAGCCGCCGCGGUAACACCGGCGGCCCGAGUGGUAGCCGUUAUUAUUGGGUUUAAAGGGUCCGUAGCCGGCCUAUUAAGUCUCUUGGGAAAUCUGGCGACUCAAUCGUCAGGCGUUCAAGAGAUACUGGUAGGCUUGGGACCGGGAGAGGUGGGAGGUACUCCAGGGGUAGGGGUGAAAUCUCGUAAUCCUUGGGGGACCACCGAUGGCGAAGGCAUCCCACCAGAACGGGUCCGACGGUGAGGGACGAAAGCUGGGGGCACGAACCGGAUUAGAUACCCGGGUAGUCCCAGCCGUAAACGAUGCUCGCUAGGUGUCAGGUGCGGUGCGACCGCAUCUGGUGCCGCAGUGAAAACUUGAAGCGAGUCACCUGGGAAGUACGGUCGCAAGGCUGAAACUUAAAGGAAUUGGCG
Molecule: ribosomal RNA, 864 nt
Filed under: archaeon enrichment culture clone EAr29
Lineage: Archaea
Description: bacterial SSU rRNA
Rfam family: Archaeal small subunit ribosomal RNA
Source: RNAcentral